This 1390-nucleotide long non-coding RNA is filed under the name Mus musculus (house mouse). Its description in RNAcentral is "RNA imprinted and accumulated in nucleus". The stretch from base 1234 to 1307 matches the Rfam family "Small nucleolar RNA SNORD113/SNORD114 family". Lineage: Eukaryota; Metazoa; Chordata; Mammalia; Rodentia; Muridae. The record is from RNAcentral.
GUGGACCAGCAGGUCUUGGGGUCUCAAGGGCUGGUCGUCCUUACAGGAUUUUCCCUUGUUCUCAGCAUCUAGACCCGUAACGCCCACUUCAGAAUGGGAGGGAGGAUGUCUGCUGCCCUGUCGUCUCCACACCCGAGGAAUGUCCGUGUGUGUGUGUGUGUGGUGUGCACAGCGGGCUGCACACAGCGGGCUCCACGGUGCUCGAAUGGAGGCCCUAAUGUGAAUGGAGACUAGCCUGCUGGUAGAGACCUUGGCAGUGACCGCUGUGGGCAAUGAGCCAUGGGCCAACAAUAUUCAAUGCUGUGUACCUGAUGGAUGGUUACUGUCUGAGACUGAGGCUUUUUGGGCCAGGAGUAAAAGGACUUGGUUUGUACUUGAUUGCGUCCUGUGGAUGCUUGCCUACCAACUGACUCAUCCUGACGUGCCAAAGGUCCUGGCUUUCCCCUGUGUGGAGCAUCACUAUCAAACAGUUCACUGUGGACUCCUCGUAGCAGAAGUACAGUAGGGGACAGCAAGUGUCAGCUCCAUCAGGACCCCUGAUUUAAUUAUUUACUGUGGAACCAUUGUCCUGAGUCAGGAGGAUAGAUGAGGAAAGAAUGAGAGCGUGGCUGGCAUCGCUUCAUGAUUACAUUCUGGGAAAGAUCUUGCCUGUUAACCUCUAGAGAAGGAGGGACGAUACAGACAAUGAAGACUAUAGCAGACUGAAUUACUCUCUGAGAUGAGGACUUUGCUAUUGCCAUUGCAGAACCACUGGUGGAAGUUGUUGUUAAACAGUGGGUCUUGCAUGCAAGCUCUACAGUUAUGCACAGUAUUUCCAUGACAUCCCAAGCCAUGAGGUUCAUGCUGCCAUAUCCCCCUGUUUAACAAGUGUGGAAACUGAUAAUGGACUCACAAUUGCUGAUGUAUAGGUUCUAAUGUUUUCUAUUGUGGACACGGGACACCCAGACUGAGAACCAAUGGCUCCAGUCUGAUUUAAACAUGGGUCCGUGCUCACACACUCAAUACCUACCCUCUGUGCUCACAAGUCCUGUGUGAGUAAGACUCCAAAUUAUUCUGUCUUGUUUUACUCAAUGGUAUGCUCUACCUUAUUAUAGAGUAUACCAUGUAUUGAGACAAGAAUGCCAGUCAUUCUGAGAAACAAAAUGCAACCAUUAGUUGUCAUUUUAAUUAGUGACGAAUAGUUGUGUCAAUCAUCAAACAUGCUUGUAUAAUUGGAUGAGAAGAGGUGUAACACGGGCCAAUGAUGACGAGGUUUCGGGAUUAUAAGUCACGGACGAUGACUACGUCACUAGAGGUCUGAGGUCCAUAGCAGAAGAUGCCUCAUGUGACCCUCUCAUGCAGGGGUUGCAUGUCAGGCAUGUGCAUACAGUAGAUAUUAGCCAUGCACUCU